CAGCAGUGGGGAAUCUUGCGCAAUGGGCGAAAGCCUGACGCAGCCAUGCCGCGUGAAUGAUGAAGGUCUUAGGAUUGUAAAAUUCUUUCACCGGGGACGAUAAUGACGGUACCCCGGAGAAGAAGCCCCGGCUAACUUCGUGCCAGCAGCCGCGGUAAUACGAAGGGGGCUAGCGUUGCUCGGAAUUACUGGGCGUAAAGGGCGCGUAGGCGGACAGUUUAGUCAGAGGUGAAAGCCCAGGGCUCAACCUUGGAAUUGCCUUUGAUACUGGCUGUCUUGAGUACGGGAGAGGUGAGUGGAACUCCGAGUGUAGAGGUGAAAUUCGUAGAUAUUCGGAAGAACACCAGUGGCGAAGGCGACUCACUGGCCCGUUACUGACGCUGAGGCGCGAAAGCGUGGGGAGCAAACAGGAUUAGAUACCCUGGUAG
Molecule: ribosomal RNA, 428 nt
Filed under: uncultured bacterium
Lineage: Bacteria
Description: bacterial SSU rRNA
Rfam family: Bacterial small subunit ribosomal RNA
Source: RNAcentral